AAUAGAUACCCCGGUAGUCCACGCCGUAAACGGUGGGCACUAGGUGUGGGCGACAUUCCACGUCGUCCGUGCCGCAGCUAACGCAUUAAGUGCCCCGCCUGGGGAGUACGGCCGCAAGGCUAAAACUCAAAGGAAUUGACGGGGGCCCGCACAAGCGGCGGAGCAUGUGGCUUAAUUCGACGCAACGCGAAGAACCUUACCAAGGCUUGACAUACACCGGAAACGUCCAGAGAUGGGCGCCCCCGUUGUGGUCGGUGUACAGGUGGUGCAUGGCCGUCGUCAGCUCGUGUCGUGAGAUGUUGGGUUAAGUCCCGCAACGAGCGCAACCCUUGUCCCGUGUUGCCAGCAGGCCCUUGUGGUGCUGGGGACUCACGGGGAGACCGCCGGGGUCAACUCGGAGGAAGGUGGGGACGACGUCAAGUCAUCAUGCCCCUUAUGUCUUGGGCUGCACACGUGCUACAAUGGCCGGUACAAUGAGCUGCGAUACCGCGAGGUGGAGCGAAUCUCGAAAAAGCCGGUCUCAGUUCGGAUUGGGGUCUGCAACUCGACCCC
Molecule: ribosomal RNA, 552 nt
Filed under: uncultured bacterium
Lineage: Bacteria
Description: bacterial SSU rRNA
Rfam family: Bacterial small subunit ribosomal RNA
Source: RNAcentral